UACGUAGGGGGCUAGCGUUGUCCGGAUUUAUUGGGCGUAAAGAGCGUGUAGGCGGUCUGGUAGGUCCGUUGUGAAAACUCGAGGCUCAACCUCGAGACGCCGAUGGAAACCCUCAGACUAGAGUCCGGAAGAGGAGAGUGGAAUUCCUGGUGUAGCGGUGAAAUGCGCAGAUAUCAGGAAGAACACCCGUGGCUAAGGCGGCUCUCUAGUACGUGACUGACGCUGAGACGCGAAAGCGUGGGGAGCGAACAGG
This 253-nucleotide ribosomal RNA is filed under the name uncultured bacterium. RNAcentral's name for it is "partial 16S ribosomal RNA". It matches the Rfam family "Bacterial small subunit ribosomal RNA", at positions 524 to 776 of the family's 1533-position model. The record is from RNAcentral.